RNAcentral lists this ribosomal RNA (910 nucleotides) under uncultured bacterium. RNAcentral describes it as "bacterial SSU rRNA". It matches the Rfam family "Bacterial small subunit ribosomal RNA", at positions 33 to 934 of the family's 1533-position model. The record is from RNAcentral.
ACGCUGGCGGCAGGCUUAACACAUGCAAGUCGAACGGUAGCAGGAGAAAGCUUGCUUUCUUGCUGACGAGUGGCGGACGGGUGAGUAAUGCUUGGGAAUCUGGCUUAUGGAGGGGGAUAACUACGGGAAACUGUAGCUAAUACCGCGUAGAAUCGGAAGAUGAAAGUGCGGGACCGCAAGGCCGCAUGCCAUGAGAUGAGCCCAAGUGGGAUUAGGUAGUUGGUGGGGUAAAGGCCUACCAAGCCUGCGACCUCUAGCUGGUCUGAGAGGAUGGCCAGCCACACUGGAACUGAGACACGGUCCAGACUCCUACGGGAGGCAGCAGUGGGGAAUAUUGCGCAAUGGGGGGAACCCUGACGCAGCCAUGCCGCGUGAAUGAAGAAGGCCUUCGGGUUGUAAAGUUCUUUCGGUAUUGAGGAAGGUUGAUGUGUUAAUAGUACAUCAAAUUGACGUUAAAUACAGAAGAAGCACCGGCUAACUCCGUGCCAGCAGCCGCGGUAAUACGGAGGGUGCGAGCGUUAAUCGGAAUAACUGGGCGUAAAGGGCACGCAGGCGGUUAUUUAAGUGAGGUGUGAAAGCCCCGGGCUUAACCUGGGAAUUGCAUUUCAGACUGGGUAACUAGAGUACUUUAGGGAGGGGUAGAAUUCCACGUGUAGCGGUGAAAUGCGUAGAGAUGUGGAGGAAUACCGAAGGCGAAGGCAGCCCCUUGGGAAUGUACUGACGCUCAUGUGCGAAAGCGUGGGGAGCAAACAGGAUUAGAUACCCUGGUAGUCCACGCUGUAAACGCUGUCGAUUUGGGGAUUGGGGCUUAAAGCUUGUGCCUGUAGCUAACGUGAUAAAUCGACCGCCUGGGGAGUACGGCCGCAAGGUUAAAACUCAAAUGAAUUGACGGGGGCCCGCACAAGCGGUG